RNAcentral lists this long non-coding RNA (622 nucleotides) under Apteryx rowi (Okarito brown kiwi). RNAcentral's name for it is "lncRNA (ENSARWG00000008097.1)". The record is from RNAcentral. Lineage: Eukaryota; Metazoa; Chordata; Aves; Apterygiformes; Apterygidae.
UUUCAUUUCUCCUUAACAGAGAAAGAUUAGAAGUUCCUCUUUGUUUUAUUUUGGUCUCACUGACUACAAGGUUCAGUUGAUUUGGCUGCAGAAUCUACAAGGAUAAAUGGAACAAGAGAGAGCUUGAACCAUUCAAGCUUUUAUGAUUGAAAAUGCACAUUUCUCAUGGGCACUCACAGAACUGAAACAGCAUGAUUUGCAAGCUUGCUAAAUGGAUUUCUUCCAAGCAAGUCAUUGGGGGCAGGGGAUGCCGGUGAUUGUGACUAGGUUCUUGCAUGCUUUUAUGGGAAUGAUACUGGCUAGUUUCUGCAGGUCCUGCUAAAUCCAGGAGGGUACAGAGAGAUGGGACAGUGCCCACACCACAGAGAGGAAUCCUUGUGGAAARUGAAGAGCAGGAGGGUGACAAGUCCCCCUUUCAUGCUUGCGGGAACAGUUUUGCAUCUUCUCGCUGGAUUGUUUGACAGAAUAUCAGAGCCUUGAACUUCAUUCCAAGAACUUGAGGAAAUCUCAUGUCUCCCUGCCAUUUUCCAGCCUCUCAUCUGAAGGAACAAACCCUAUCUCUCCCUGCCUGAUGCCGUCUGAAUUUCCUCCGGGAUUAUCUAAACAGUGCCACGUGACCCAU